RNAcentral lists this ribosomal RNA (208 nucleotides) under Escherichia coli 6-537-08_S1_C3. Its description in RNAcentral is "partial 23S ribosomal RNA". Lineage: Bacteria; Pseudomonadati; Pseudomonadota; Gammaproteobacteria; Enterobacterales; Enterobacteriaceae. The record is from RNAcentral.
UCAACAGAGAAAAGCAAAAAAAUGCUUGACUCUGUAGCGGGAAAGCGUAUUAUGCACACCCGCGCCGCUGGGAAAAAGCGAAGCGGCACUGCUCUUUAACAAUUUAUCAGACAAUCUGUGUGGGCACUCGAAGAUACGGAUUCUUAACGUCGCAAGACGAAAAAUGAAUACCAAGUCUCAAGAGUGAACACGUAAUUCAUUACGAAGU